GAUGAACGCUGGCGGCGUGCCUAAUACAUGCAAGUCGAGCGAACAGAUGAGGAGCUUGCUCCUCUGACGUUAGCGGCGGACGGGUGAGUAACACGUGGAUAACCUACCUAUAAGACUGGGAUAACUUCGGGAAACCGGAGCUAAUACCGGAUAAUAUAUUGAACCGCAUGGUUCAAUAGUGAAAGACGGUUUUGCUGUCACUUAUAGAUGGAUCCGCGCCGCAUUAGCUAGUUGGUAAGGUAACGGCUUACCAAGGCAACGAUGCGUAGCCGACCUGAGAGGGUGGUCGGCCACACUGGAACUGAGACACGGUCCAGACUCCUAGGGGAGGCGGCAGUAGGGAAUCUUCCGCAAAGGGCGAAAGCCUGACGGAGCAACGCCGCGUGAGUGAUGAAGGUCUUCGGAUCGUAAAACUCUGUUAUUAGGGAAGAACAAAUGUGUAAGUAACUAUGCACGUCUUGACGGUACCUAAUCAGAAAGCCACGGCUAACUACGUG
RNAcentral lists this ribosomal RNA (497 nucleotides) under uncultured bacterium. RNAcentral describes it as "partial 16S ribosomal RNA". It matches the Rfam family "Bacterial small subunit ribosomal RNA", at positions 28 to 507 of the family's 1533-position model. The record is from RNAcentral.